RNAcentral lists this transfer RNA (66 nucleotides) under Glaresis sp. GLA01. Its description in RNAcentral is "tRNA-Tyr". It matches the Rfam family "tRNA". From Rfam's summary of the family: Transfer RNA (tRNA) molecules are approximately 80 nucleotides in length. Their secondary structure includes four short double-helical elements and three loops (D, anti-codon, and T loops). The record is from RNAcentral. Lineage: Eukaryota; Metazoa; Arthropoda; Insecta; Coleoptera; Glaresidae.
AAUAAAGUGGCUGAGAUAUAAGCGAUAAAUUGUAAAUUUAUUUACGAAAUUUAGUUUCCUUUAUUA